RNAcentral lists this ribosomal RNA (1447 nucleotides) under human gut metagenome. RNAcentral's name for it is "bacterial LSU rRNA". It matches the Rfam family "Bacterial large subunit ribosomal RNA", at positions 1105 to 2566 of the family's 2925-position model. The record is from RNAcentral.
CUUGGAAGCAGCCAUUCAUUUAAAGAGUGCGUAACAGCUCACUAGUCGAGCGAUCCCGCGUGGAUAAUACACGGGCAUCAAACUGUCAACCGAAGCCGUGGGGUCAGUGUUGAACUGACCGGUAGGAGAGCAUUCCUGCCAGCGUUGAAGGUCACCCGCGAGAGUGACUGGAGCGGCAUGAAAAGCAAAUGUAGGCAUAAGUAACGAUAAUGGGGGCGAGAACCCCCCACGCCGCAAGACCAAGGAUUCCCCGGCAAUGUCAAUCAGCCGGGGGUCAGCCGGCCUCUAAGGCUAACCCGAAGGGGGACGCCGACGAGAAACGGGUUAACAUUCCCGUGCUUCUCGUCACCGUGACGCGGUGACGGGGUGAUGAAUGGACCGCGCGCUGACGGAAUAGCGCGUUGAAGACCGUACCCUUUGACGGUGGUAGUCAAGCACGCCACCGGAGGCGAAAGUCGAUAGUACCUCGAGGCCUCGGCCGAGGGGAUAGCGUCCAGGCAAUUUACCCCCGAGAAAACCCGCUAAACUUCAAGUGACGAGGAACCGUACUGUAAACGGACACACGUGGUCGGGUAGAACAUACCAAGGCGCUCGAGUGAUUCAUGGUCAAGGAACUAGGCAAAAUAGUCCUGUAACCUCGGGAAAAAGGACGCUCUAGUGAUAGAGCCGCAGAGUAAUGGCCCAGGCGACUGUUUACCAAAAACACAUGGCUAUGCCAAAUCGAAAGAUGACGUAUAUGGCCUGACACCUGCCCGGUGCCGGAAGGUUAAGAGGAGAGCUCAGGGGUGACCCGAAGGUUCAAAUUGAAGCCCCGGUAAACGGCGGCCGUAACUAUAACGGUCCUAAGGUAGCGAAAUUCCUUGUCGGGUAAGUUCCGACCUGCACGAAUGGUGUAACGAUCUGGGCACUGUCUCGACCAUGAGCUCGGUGAAAUUGUAGUUCCGGUGAAGAUGCCGGGUACCCGCGACGGGACGGAAAGACCCCGUGAACCUUUACUGCAGCUUCGCGUUGUUCCCGGGCACGGGACGUGUAGGAUAGGUCGGAGGCAAUGAAGCGGUUUCGCCAGGAAUCGUGGAGCCAUCGUUGAAAUACGACCCUUCUCUUGUCUGGGAUCUAACCCAUGUGAUGGGGACACCGCGUGGUGGGUAGUUUGACUGGGGUGGUCGCCUCCAAAAGCGUAACGGAGGCUUCCAAAGGUACCCUCGGGUUGGUUGGUAAUCAACCUUGGAGUGCAAUGGCACAAGGGUGCUUGACCGGGAGACUUACAAGUCGAUCGGGUGCGAAAGCAGGGCAUAGUGAUCCGGUGAUCCCGCGUGGAAGGGUCAUCGCUCAAAGGAUAAAAGGUACUCCGGGGAUAACAGGCUGAUCGCCCCCAAGAGCUCAUAUCGACGGGGCGGUUUGGCACCUCGAUGUCGGCUCGUCACAUCCUGGGGCUGGAGAAGGUCCC